AUUGAACGCUGGCGGAAUGCUUUACACAUGCAAGUCGAACGGUAGAGGGGGCAACCCCUCGAGAGUGGCGAACGGGUGAGUAAUAUAUCGGAACGUGCCCAGUCGUGGGGGAUAACGUAGCGAAAGUUACGCUAAUACCGCAUACGAUCUAAGGAUGAAAGCGGGGGAUCGCAAGACCUCGCGCGAUUGGAGCGGCCGAUAUCAGAUUAGGUAGUUGGUGGGGUAAAGGCUCACCAAGCCAACGAUCUGUAGCUGGUCUGAGAGGACGACCAGCCAGCCUGGCACUCAGACACGGUCGAGCCUCCUCCGGAAGGCAGCAGUGGGGAAUUUUGGACAAUGGACGCAAGUCUGAGCCAGCCGUUCCGCGAGCAGGAUGAAGGCCCUCGGGUUGUAAACGGCUUUUGUACGGAACGAAAAGGUCUCUCUUAAUACGGGGGGCUGAUGACGGUACCGUAAGAAUAAGCACCGGCUAACUACGUGCCAGCCGCCGCCGUAA
This 496-nucleotide ribosomal RNA is filed under the name uncultured bacterium. Its description in RNAcentral is "partial 16S ribosomal RNA". It matches the Rfam family "Bacterial small subunit ribosomal RNA", at positions 30 to 523 of the family's 1533-position model. The record is from RNAcentral.